This 1248-nucleotide ribosomal RNA is filed under the name metagenome. RNAcentral's name for it is "bacterial LSU rRNA". It matches the Rfam family "Bacterial large subunit ribosomal RNA", at positions 1636 to 2874 of the family's 2925-position model. The record is from RNAcentral.
ACACGACCGUACCGCAAACCGACACUGGUGCGCGAGAUGAGUAUUCUAAGGCGCUUGAGAGAACUCAGGAGAAGGAACUCGGCAAAUUGACACCGUAACUUCGGAAGAAGGUGUGCCUUUAGUAGGUGAACCAUUUACUUGGGGAGCCCAAUGAGGCUGCAAAAAAUCGGUGGCUGCAACUGUUUAUUAAAAACACAGCACUCUGCUAAGACGAAAGUCGACGUAUAGGGUGUGACGCCUGCCCGGUGCUGGAAGAUUAAAUGAUGGGGUGCAAGCUCUUGAUUGAAGUCCCAGUAAACGGCGGCCGUAACGAUAACGGUCCUAAGGUAGCGAAAUUCCUUGUCGGGUAAGUUCCGACCUGCACGAAUGGCGUAAUGAUGGCCACACUGUCUCCUCCUGAGACUCAGCGAAGUUGAAAUGUUUGUGAUGAUGCAAUCUCCCCGCGGAAAGACGGAAAGACCCCAUGAACCUUUACUGUAGCUUUGUAUUGGACUUUGAACAGAUCUGUGUAGGAUAGGUGGGAGGCUUUGAAGUGUGGUCGCUAGAUCGCAUGGAGCCAACGUUGAAAUACCACCCUGGUGUGUUUGAGGUUCUAACCUAGGUCCAUUAUCUGGAUCGGGGACAGUGCAUGGUAUGCAGUUUGACUGGGGCGGUCUCCUCCCAAAGUGUAACGGAGGAGUUCGAAGGUGCGCUAGGUACGGUCGGACAUCGUGCUAAUAGUGCAAUGGCAUAAGCUGCUUAACUGCGAGACUGACAAGUCGAGCAGAUGCGAAAGCAGGACAUAGUGAUCCGGUGGUUCUGUAUGGAAGGGCCAUCGCUCAACGGAUAAAAGGUACUCUGGGGAUAACAGGCUGAUACCGCCCAAGAGUUCAUAUCGACGGCGGUGUUUGGCACCUCGAUGUCGGCUCAUCUCAUCCUGGGGCUGUAGCCGGUCCCAAGGGUAUGGCUGUUCGCCAUUUAAAGAGGUACGUGAGCUGGGUUUAAAACGUCGUGAGACAGUUUGGUCCCUAUCUUCCGUGGGCGCUGCAGAUUUGAGGAAGCCUGCUCCUAGUACGAGAGGACCGGAGUGGACGAACCUCUGGUGUAUCGGUUGUCACGCCAGUGGCAUUGCCGAGUAGCUAAGUUCGGUAGAGAUAACCGCUGAAAGCAUCUAAGCGGGAAACUCGUUUCAAGAUUAGAUCUGCCGGGGCCUUGAGCCCCCUAAAGAGUCGUUCAAGACCAGGACGUUGAUAGGUCAGGUGUGGAAGC